This 253-nucleotide ribosomal RNA is filed under the name uncultured bacterium. RNAcentral's name for it is "partial 16S ribosomal RNA". It matches the Rfam family "Bacterial small subunit ribosomal RNA", at positions 100 to 354 of the family's 1533-position model. The record is from RNAcentral.
CGGGGUGAGUAACGCGUGGGCAACCUGCCCCAUAGAGGGGGACAACAGCUGGAAACGGCUGCUAAUACCGCAUAACAAGGAGAGAGCGCAUGUUCUUUUCUUUCAAAGAUUUAUCGCUAUGGGAUGGACCCGCGUCUGAUUAGCUGGUUGGUGAGGUAACGGCUCACCAAGGCGACGAUCAGUAGCCGGCUUGAGAGAGUGGACGGCCACAUUGGGACUGAGACACGGCCCAGACUCCUACGGAAGGCAGCAG